AACGAACGCUGGCGGCAGGCUUAACACAUGCAAGUCGAGCGCCCCGCAAGGGGAGCGGCAGACGGGUGAGUAACGCGUGGGCACGUACCUUUUGGUUCGGAACAACUCCGGGAAACUGGAGCUAAUACCGGAUAAGCCCUAACGGGGAAAGACUAAUCGCCGAAAGAUCGGCCAGCGUCUGAUUAGCUAGUUGGUGAGGUAACGGCUCACCAAGGCGACGAUCAGUAGCCGGUCUGAGAGGAUGAUCAGCCAGACUGGGACUGAGACACGGCCCAGACUCCUGCGGGAGGCAGCGGUAGGGAAUAUUGGACAAUGGGCGCAAGCCAGAUCCAGCCAUGCCGCGUGAGUGAUGAAGGCCUUAGGGUUGUAAAGCUCUUUUGUCCGAGAAGAUAAUGGCUGUACCGGAAGAAUAAGCCCGGGCUAACUUCGUG
RNAcentral lists this ribosomal RNA (431 nucleotides) under uncultured bacterium. RNAcentral describes it as "partial 16S ribosomal RNA". It matches the Rfam family "Bacterial small subunit ribosomal RNA", at positions 29 to 507 of the family's 1533-position model. The record is from RNAcentral.